RNAcentral lists this small RNA (79 nucleotides) under Epilithonimonas arachidiradicis. Its description in RNAcentral is "Chryseobacterium arachidiradicis Flavo-1 RNA". The record is from RNAcentral. Lineage: Bacteria; Pseudomonadati; Bacteroidota; Flavobacteriia; Flavobacteriales; Weeksellaceae.
UCGUUACUCGAUUUGAGCGGAAAUCCUUUUUGUGGAGCAAAGCGGAACAAAAAAAUUGGGAGCGGAAGGCGGAUUAAGC